GCCACCGGGGACAACUAGGACCCCGGAUCCCACUGCCAGUUUUUCGUUACCUAUAGCCGGGCAGCGAACUUAGGCUAAGGCAGUGCUUGUUCUCUGGGGAAGGGCUUUGCGGACUCCGACCAACCCCACGGGGUAACCAGGGCUUGAGUGAAGACGACAACAAUAAUGGGAGGAACUGGGGGACCUCUGCGGACGUGGGCCGGCGCGGGACCCGGACCCCAACAGGCGGCGAGCGCGAGGGCAGGGAGGCUCCGUGGGCUCUGGCGGGGUCUCAGGCGCGGGGGUCGUUGCGUGCGCUCGUGCGCGUGCCCGCGAGGACUGGGUGCCCCUGCGUCCGUUAGCUGUGGAGGUGCCGCCGUGACCUAGGCCUCGGCUCGGCUUCCAGCCGCCGCGCGGGUCCGCACCGGGCAGUGGGCCCGCGCCGGGGCGGUUACCAAGCCUUCCGGUGAUGUUCUCCCGCAGGAGACGCAGAACUACGAUUGCACGAGUUCUCUGUCGUGUGUGUGUGUGUUUAUCCAGUCACUCCUGUAUUUGAGAGAGCGAGGGAGACAGACAGGUCCCCCUUCCGCGGGCGCGCUCCCCAGAUGCCCUCAACGGCCAGGUGUGGGCCAGGCCGGAGCCUGGAGCCCGCGCUGCCUCCCAGGGGUGCGCCAGCAGGGAGCCGGUCUGGGUGGCCUCGGGCUGCGGGAUGCGGUGUCCCGGCACCGUGCUGACCGCUGCUGACCUUUCUGAGCCAGAGGGGUCUUCAGGGGACCUCCCCCGCGGAGACUGCGCCUCCUGCCAGGCUGGGAGCUUGGGGAAGCAGCGCCCGGCUCCCUUUCUCUCCCGUUGGUUCUGGAUGUGAGGCUGUGCUGGGAAUGGCCGUGCGCACGAUCAGAGCUCAAGACCGUGCAGCUGGCUAGCUUGGGUUUCCCAGAGUCUGAUAGAACUCCAACAGAGACGGAUUGGUUCUCACGUUCCUAAAGGCAUGGCUCACGUAAGUCGGUGUUUCUCCUUGACAUGCUGGGAUUUGUAGGUUACAUAAGUAUUUUUCAUGAAUUAGCCUGAAGUGUUCUGCCUAAGACGGCACCAUCUAAUCACCUACCUCUUGAAUUCCUCCUGUUUGGAGGAAUGAUGCCAAGUACCUGUUUCCUCCUUAUGAGACUGUUUUUUUCUAACUGGCGUUCAUGCAUUCAUUGAGUAAAUUACGGAGCAGGUACGAUGUGGGAUGUCUUGCCGGGGGGCUACCAUAGGGCAGUGAAGGAGUGAAAUGUCCUAGAAAAUUGUUUAAGCUCCCCGGGCAGUCUGUGGCUGGGGAGUUAGAGCCAUGGGCUUCACUGAUGGCUUCAUUGGACCACACGUCAGAAGAUUUGGAAUUCCCCAGGGACCUGAUAAGAUGACUGAUCACCUUGUUAAUAAGAUGAGAUCUCAUGUCAAAGUGCCAGUUUGCGUUCCAGCUGUUCUGCUUCUGAUCUAGCUCCCUGCUGAUGUGCCUGGGAAAGCAGUGGAUCAUAGUCCAAGUUUUUGGGCCCUGCCCCCUACAUGGGAGACCCUGGAUGGAGUUCCAAGUUCCAGGCUUUGGCCAUUGUAGCCAUUUGGGGAGUGAAUCAGGGAAUGAAUGCUUUCUCUCUUUCCUCUCUCUAUUACUGUGCCUUUCAAAUAAAUAAAUAAUCUUAAAAAAAAAAAAAAGCAGGGGCACCAGUUUGA
Oryctolagus cuniculus (rabbit) is the source of this 1686-nucleotide non-coding RNA. Lineage: Eukaryota; Metazoa; Chordata; Mammalia; Lagomorpha; Leporidae. The record is from RefSeq and is a predicted model, not a curated record.